CACUGUCAAAGUCAAUUGACGCCAGAAGAGGCGCUGCACGUCGUCGUCCAUUUCCUAUUUCUUUUACUUUGUGAAUGGUGUCAGAGUAAGCUCUGAUCGGACCAUCACACCACCGCCAGCAAAAUGCCGCAGAACGAGUACAUUGAGCGCCACAUCAAGCUGCACGGCCGGCGGCUCGAUUAUGAGGAGCGCAAGCGGAAGCGUGAGGCCCGCGAGCCCAAGAAGCGCGCCGCCAUGGCCCGCAAGCUGCGCGGCAUCAAGGCCAAACUGUUCCAGAAGGAACGACGCAACGAGAAGAUCCAGAUGAAGAAGAAGAUUCAAGCGCACGAGGAGAAGAAGGUCAAGAAGACCACCGAGAAGGUCGAAGAUGGAGCGAUCCCGGCGUAUCUGCUGGAUCGUGGCGUGCAGUCCAGUGCCAAGGUGCUGUCUAACAUGAUCAAGCAGAAGCGAAAGGAGAAGGCCGGCAAAUGGGACGUACCGAUUCCGAAGGUUCGCGCCCAGGCAGAUUCUGAGGUGUUCAAAGUUAUCCGCAGUGGUAAAACCAAGCGGAAAGCGUGGAAGCGAAUGGUCACUAAGGUCACCUACGUCGGCGAGAACUUCACCCGAAAACCUCCGAAGUUUGAACGGUUUAUCAGGCCGAUGGCCCUGCGCUUCAACAAGGCACACGUUACACAUCCGGAACUGAAGGCCACGUUCCACCUGCCGAUCAUCGGCGUCAAGAAGAACCCCUCCUCGCCCAUGUACACCAGCCUGGGCGUCAUCACCAAGGGUACUGUGAUCGAAGUGAACAUCUCCGAGCUGGGUUUGGUGACCCAGUCCGGUAAGGUCGUCUGGGGCAAGUACGCCCAGGUGACGAACAACCCGGAAAACGACGGAUGUAUUAACGCUGUGCUGUUAGUUUAGUGUGUGUGGGGGGAGAAGUCGCCCCUCUCUGACCUGAUAUAUUUUCGUUCUCAUCUUAAGUUAGCGUGUAAGGUUGCGUCGUAUAGUUUUGUAUGGAAGUGUAAAAAUAUAUAUAAUUGCCAAGGACUGCAUUACUUUGUAACAAGAUAUGGUCUUUUUAUUGGGCGGGGUACGAGAUUGUUCAGAUGGACUGCAGCAGUGUGUAAUUCGGCAUCAAGGAUGCAGAUCUUCGUUAAGACCCUGACGGGCAAGACCAUCACCCUUGAGGUCGAACCGUCCGAUACGAUCGAGAAUGUCAAGGCCAAAAUCCAGGACAAGGAGGGAAUCCCGCCAGAUCAGCAGCGUUUGAUCUUCGCCGGCAAGCAGCUGGAAGAUGGCCGCACCCUGUCCGACUACAACAUCCAGAAGGAGUCCACCCUCCACUUGGUGCUGCGCCUGCGCGGUGGUGCCAAGAAGCGCAAGAAGAAGAAUUACUCCACCCCCAAGAAGAUCAAGCACAAGAGGAAGAAGGUCAAACUCGCCGUCCUCAAGUACUACAAGGUCGACGAAAACGGCAAGAUCCACCGUCUGCGUCGUGAGUGCACCAGCGAGACCUGCGGUGCCGGAGUCUUCAUGGCUGCCCACGAAGAUCGUCACUACUGCGGCAAGUGCCACCUGACCCUGGUCUAUUCCAAGCAGGAGGAAAAGUAAAAGAUGGCUAGCCUGCGCCUCUCUCCGGGUGCUUUUUGCGUUUACUAAGUAGAAAUGCCCGAAGGGAUCUUCUUCUCUAAUGUUUAAGGAUUACGAAAAUAUAAAUGGGGUUAAAUCCACCUAAUAAAAGCUUGAUACGGUUUCACAUUCCGUAUUGACACCUAA
Aedes aegypti (yellow fever mosquito) is the source of this 1758-nucleotide RNA transcript. It is a transcript of the gene named ribosome biogenesis protein NSA2 homolog, with no coding region annotated. The record is from RefSeq and is a predicted model, not a curated record. The transcript is spliced from 4 exons. Lineage: Eukaryota; Metazoa; Arthropoda; Insecta; Diptera; Culicidae.